This 1376-nucleotide long non-coding RNA is filed under the name Bos indicus x Bos taurus (hybrid cattle). RNAcentral describes it as "lncRNA (ENSBIXG00000019696.1)". The record is from RNAcentral. Lineage: Eukaryota; Metazoa; Chordata; Mammalia; Artiodactyla; Bovidae.
CAAUUUCCUCAUAAUAAAUCUCUUCCUAUACACCCAUAUCCUAUUGAUUCUAUUUUUCUGGAGAACUGUGAUUAAUAGAAUGAUUAAAAAACCAAUAGCCUAGUGAAUACUUUUAUUCAGAAUUCUCUCUUGCUUUCUCUGGUACCCCACUUAUACUUGGACAGAGCGUGCACCAGAAUUCCAAGGUCAGGUUGCAUCAAGUAUAAUAAGAGGUGAACUGAUGAGUGGGAGACGCACCAACCGUUGCCCUCCUGUGUGUCUUCACACACACGGUUGCUAUUUGUCGAGUGUGGGGGUUUACUUCCUUCUCACGUGGUGCUGGUGGUACAGAAUUCACUUGGCAAUGCAGGAGACUUGAGACACAGGUUCAAUCCCUGGGUCCGGAAGAUGCCCUGGAGGAGGAAAUGGCAACCAACUCCAGUAUUCUUGCCUGGAGAAUCCCCAUGGACAGAGGAGCCUGGCGGGCUUCAGUCCUCGGGGUCGCAAAGCGUUGGACACGACUGACGUGACUACAUGCGUAGGACUGGUACCAGGGGGCCUGCUCUUCUGGUCCUGCAAGUGUGUGUGUGUGUCUAGCCUUUACGAGGGACCAGCUAGCACUGACGAGCACUGUUUGUAUCCCAGCGCCCAGUACAUGAGUCGUUGGAUUUGGUAAAUGUACGGCAGUUGCAUCAGGGCAUAGUAGCUCUAUUUGCUUUAUAGAAAUUCUGGAGCACUGUAGGUAUUGCAUAUUUCUACAUCAAAGCUCUCAAAGUAGUUAGGGGUGUGGAGGCGCACACAGCCUCUAACACCGCCGCGCGCACCUCGGAGGCCUCCGAGCAGGGCACUGCCUCUGGGCGUGCUGUGUGCUUGCCCCCCUGCGGUGGGAAUGGAAGAGCUUUCUCAUCUGAUGUUGCUCAAGGGGGACGCACGCCUGGAAAGUGAUCAGCAGAGAAGAGAGUAUAGACAGAUUCUGCCGAUGCUGGUUUUUCCUGACCCAGGCGAACUCAGGGCUGUGAAUUUCAACAGCAACCGCCUUUCACUGAGAGCCCAACACACCACACGUUGGGGUGAGGUGUCGCUGUGCCCCUUGUAACCCCCGUGACAGCACUGUACCGAAGGGAACACGGAGACGCAGGCAGGAGCGCGAGCCUGUGUGUGAACUUAACAUGCUUCACUAGAAGAUCAAGCUGUUCUGAAAGUUGACUACCUACCUGUGUACACGGAGCGCCAGCCAAGGAUGAGCAGGAGUGGCAUACAGAUAUCCACGUGAUGUCAAAUCUUACUUCUUGCACCAGGAUUAACAUGCCAGAACACCAGUGUGGGAAGCCCCCCUGCAGAUACUUGUGCGCUCCCUACCGUCCUGCCUCUCUUCGCUCACGCGGCGUGGAGCUUCU